This 468-nucleotide ribosomal RNA is filed under the name uncultured bacterium. Its description in RNAcentral is "partial 16S ribosomal RNA". It matches the Rfam family "Bacterial small subunit ribosomal RNA", at positions 28 to 507 of the family's 1533-position model. The record is from RNAcentral.
GACGAACGCUGGCGGCGGGCUUAACACAUGCAAGUCGAACGGAAAGGCCCUGCUUUUGUGGGGUGCUCGAGUGGCGAACGGGUGAGUAACACGUGAGUAACCUGCCCUUGACUUUGGGAUAACUUCAGGAAACUGGGGCUAAUACCGGAUAGGAGCUCCUGCUGCAUGGUGGGGGUUGGAAAGUUUCGGCGGUUGGGGAUGGACUCGCGGCUUAUCAGCUUGUUGGUGGGGUAGUGGCUUACCAAGGCUUUGACGGGUAGCCGGCCUGAGAGGGUGACCGGCCACAUUGGGACUGAGAUACGGCCCAGACUCCUACGGGAGGCAGCAGUGGGGAAUAUUGCACAAUGGGCGGAAGCCUGAUGCAGCAACGCCGCGUGCGGGAUGACGGCCUUCGGGUUGUAAACCGCUUUCGCCUGUGACGAAGCGUGAGUGGCGGUAAUGGGUAAAGAAGCACCGGCUAACUACGUG